This 519-nucleotide ribosomal RNA is filed under the name uncultured bacterium. RNAcentral's name for it is "bacterial SSU rRNA". It matches the Rfam family "Bacterial small subunit ribosomal RNA", at positions 30 to 526 of the family's 1533-position model. The record is from RNAcentral.
AUUGAACGCUGGCGGCAGGCCUAACACAUGCAAGUCGAGCGGAAACGAGUUAUCUGAACCUUCGGGGAACGAUAACGGCGUCGAGCGGCGGACGGGUGAGUAAUGCCUAGGAAAUUGCCCUGAUGUGGGGGAUAACCAUUGGAAACGAUGGCUAAUACCGCAUGAUGCCUACGGGCCAAAGAGGGGGACCUUCGGGCCUCUCGCGUCAGGAUAUGCCUAGGUGGGAUUAGCUAGUUGGUGAGGUAAGGGCUCACCAAGGCGACGAUCCCUAGCUGGUCUGAGAGGAUGAUCAGCCACACUGGAACUGAGACACGGUCCAGACUCCUACGGGAGGCAGCAGUGGGGAAUAUUGCACAAUGGGCGCAAGCCUGAUGCAGCCAUGCCGCGUGUGUGAAGAAGGCCUUCGGGUUGUAAAGCACUUUCAGUCGUGAGGAAGGUAGUGUAGUUAAUAGCUGCAUUAUUUGACGUUAGCGACAGAAGAAGCACCGGCUAACUCCGUGCCAGCCGCCGCCGUAACAC